Molecule: long non-coding RNA, 10015 nt
Filed under: Homo sapiens (human)
Lineage: Eukaryota; Metazoa; Chordata; Mammalia; Primates; Hominidae
Description: HSALNT0011173
Source: RNAcentral
GGGGAGGGCAUGGCCAGUGUCCAGUGAGAACAGAGAAUGCUCUAGGGUUCUGGGGCCGGACUUGGAGCUGUGCAGAGACCUGGGAUCUACCAGAGAUGCAGCCCCCAAGUACAUGGGGUAGUGAGGAAGCCCUCUGGUCUCUCUUCUCCCAUUCUUUUACUCUUUUCUUGUUCCUUCCACUGGCCCAAAAAACUGAACGCCAACAGGCAAGGGAUCCCAGGUGAAGCCUCACAGGAGGCUGACCUCCCAGGACUUACAUCAAGGCAGUUUCUGAGGUCAUCAGAGAAGAUUUGCCAGAGGCUUUCGCUUACCCAAGGGAAGUAAUGUUAAAGGGUCAUGUGUUUUUCUGAAGCAAAGUAUCGCUUUUACAGAGAAAUGGCUGCUACCUAGGGCCAGUGCCUUCACAGUUUGGUUAUGCUAAGUAGAAGAUACAGAUUUGUAAUGCCUAAAUUCUCACACUUCUAAUCCUACAGUCCAAUUAUUCUGGCAUUUGCUACAAUGUGCUCUGAAGAAAUGGAUUGGAAAUAAACAAAUAAAUAAAUAAAUAAAUAAUUCCACAGGAGGAAAAAAAUGCGUUCUGAAAGGAUCAGGAUUUUCAAAGCCCCCAAGCUUCAACAUAUCCGAGGAUCGAAGGCCUGAAUAAAGUGGCAUCACAGAAGUGUGAGAACAGCCUUUCCCCAUUCUCCGGAGUGGAUCCAUGAGCCAGGAGUCAGGCCUGCACUUUGAGGAGCGGAAGUGCUUUUGUGAGGACAAGCAAGAAUGUCUUGUAAUUUCAACUACCCUUAAAGCUGUUUCAGGGUUCCCUGAUAAUGAACUAACUGAUACUGGGACUUCCCUUCUCCAUCCCCCAAAGAAAAGCUGCGUUCCAACUCAACACCUCAUAGAACCAGAGCCCCCUAAUAUCCCUAGGUGUGGGCAGCUGGCAUUCCCCAACAUUCCCCUAACACCCAGCACCUAAGCUAAGAAUGCUUGGGGCCUGAACCCCAAAUGUUUAUUCAGCCAUGUAAAGCCACUUGCACACUUGUCCUAUAAAAAAGGAAAGCAACAGAAUGUUUUUCUCCUCUUGGAGCAGAGCCCCACAGUGAAUCUAGCAAUGCACUGGCUCAAACAUGCCCCCUUUUCAGCAGCAUGCUGAAAGAAAUAGGAUCCAUGCGUCAGCUGGAAUUUCUAUCUCUGAGUUUCUACCUAAACUAAGUGAUACUUUCUGUUAUUCCCAGUCACAUCAAAACAAAUGUGAGAUUCAAAUUUUAAACUGGGCUAUACUGUAACAAAUUAGACUUGACUCUUUUUGUUUUGUUUUGUUUAAAUAACAGAAAGUGACUAGAAAACUAUAGGAUCCACCUAAGAUGCUAAGACAUGGCAAAGUGAGACCAAACAUAGCACAACAAAUAGUUGGAGACAAAAUAAAAGCAUUUUACAUUUGUGCACUACAAUGUUCAGGCUAUUCAACACACUGAUUUCACACAUACAGUCCCAUUUAUUGCCAACAAUAACCCUGCAAAGUAGGUACUAUUAUUGGGCACAUUUUACAUAUAAAACGACUUAAAAUUAGAGGAGGUAGUAUAUAUUUUCCUAAUUUUUGGCAGCCCAGCAUCUAAAGCCCUUUUCUAUGCUUGAAGAAUGCCCUGCCUUAUGAGUGAGUCUUGCUGGAAAGAAGAGACCAGCUUCCAAUAUAAAAACUGAAAAUACCAAAUACUUUUCCCAUAUUCCCUGAUAACUAUCACACUGACAUUAGAAGAGUCUCCACCAACAGAUGUGAGCAUGCCAGUUUUCCCCAGAAUCUAAAGAUACAAAGAAAGAGGAUUUUUGUGGGAAACCACUCUGGUGAAAAUGCCAGUGGAAGUCCUACACUGAACCCGAUUUCCAGUGGCAAGAAUUUUAGUGGCUCCAGCAGCGAUGCCCAGUGCUCCGUGACUAUGGGUUCACAAUGUACACAAACUGGUUGGGCCACUGCAGAUGAAAGAGAUGGCUUCAAGUGCUCAGUUAUGUGUCUUGAUUGGUAAUGUGGCCAUUGGCUGGGUAAUGUCCACACUGCUUCUCUGGCCCUUUUGAAGUGUCUGUUAGCCAUAAUAACUAGAUUUAUUUUCUGAUUAAAUUAGCUAGAAUUAGGUUCUGACUGACUUAGGAUAAGUAAUUGCUCUCUGAUCACACAUAGAGCAAAUGAUGGAGCUGGAAUUCCAGUCUUCACUAGGUUAUACUGAAUGAUGAGAUAAUGUUAUGGGCUGAAUUCAUGUGUUGAAGUCCUCAUCUCCAGAACCUCAGAAUGUCUGUAUUUGGAGAAGAGUUUUUAAUGUUGUAAUUCAGUGAAAGUGAGGUCAGUAGGGUGGCUAUAAUUCAAUAUGACCUGAAUCCUUACGAGAAUGAAAAUCUGGACACAGAAAUCCGUGUGGGAGGCCAUGUGAAGACACGGAGAAAGCAUCCAUCUGUGAGCCAAAGAGAGAGGCCUCAGAAGAAACCACCCCUGCAGACACCUUGUAAUUGGACGUCUAGCCUUCAGAACUGUGAAACAGGAAAUUUCUGUUAUUUAAGCCACCCAGUCUAUGGUACUUUGUUAUGGCAGUCCUAAUAAACUAAUACCAGGAAUGAGGAAUACGAAAGAAUUCAAGAUGAUCUCAAAGUUGCUCAAUGAGGUGACUUUAGAAAAGAUGAAGGGUAUGAGAGGAGUAGCCAUUGCAGAAGGAGAACAAGAUCAUGAAUUCAAUUCAGAAAACUUUGAUUUUGAGACCUCUGCAGGAGAAAAUAAGAGAAAGCUUCAAAGGCCUAGCUUCCUUUAUAGAGUCCUGGGAGAGACCUAAAGUUGAGGAAUAGAGAGAAAAGGCACCUCUGGAUACUCACUGGCAUUGGAUCCAGCUCUGAGUUGCUUGCUUUCUGGGCUUCAGAAUGACAAAGCAGGUUUAUGCACAGAGUUUUUCAAUAAGCAAGUCCCCACUGAAGGUCACAGGCCUAUUUCAGCAGUGGGAGAAACCACAGUCAGCAGUAUUGGGCCAUGCAAGUGAAGGGUUGUUCACUGGAGAGGUUUGUUACCUUAUUGGGAAGAUGAAGUUUUCAUCCAGCAUUAAGCCUAUGGCUAUAAUUCAGGGAUGAGACAAGGGUGUUUGCAUUUGUUAGCAUGAAGACAAACAAAUCCAACACCCUUAGGUCAGAAUUUCAGCUUAACAUGGUAUCUUGUGCUUGAAUAUCCCUUGCAACCUCUCCUGACUUUCCACUUUCCAAAGUGAGUCUUUUAAAAUGCUCACGUUUUGGCUCACACCUGUAAUCCCAGCACUUUGGGAGGCCGAGGCGGGCGGAUCACGAGAUCAGGAGAUCAAGACCACGGUGAAACCCCGUCUCUACUAAAAUACAAAAAAUUAACCGGGCGUGGUGGUGGGCUCCUGUAGUCCCAGCUACUCGGGAGGCUGAGGCAGGAGAAUGACGUGAACCCCGAAGGCGGAGCUUGCAGUGAGCCGAGAUUUCGCCACUGCACUCCAGCCUGGGCGACACUGCGAGACUCCGUCUCAAAAAAAAAAAAAAAAAAAAAAAAAAAAAGGCCACGUUUAUUGGUCUUAUGCCUAUAAAAAAAGUCUAUGUGGACAACCACUCAUUGAUUCAAUAAAUAAUGCUUAAGUGCUUACUCUGUGCCAGGAUUCUGAAAGGCACUGUGGGUAAAUGGUAGGCAAAUCUAAACCUGGUCCUGCCUUCAGAGAGUCUACUGUUUGAACGGAAAAAGAAGAGAAUGAGGCCAAACAAGAGGUUGUUCACCUGAGGAAAUGGAUGGGAGCUGGGCAAGCCUACCUGGCAGAGGCUCACCUGGCUGAGUACCUAUGAAAUUGCCAUGGAUGAUCUCAAAAUUCAAAGAAAAGUCCAGUGCAUAUAAAUAAAAACCUUGAAAACACAAAUUCAUAGGCAAAAGGCUGAGAGGCCACAUAAAUUACUUUUAGUGAAAACAACAAAUAAUAUUAGUAUUAUUUCUGUUUCAGUAUUCAAGGCAGUGGUGAUGGGAACUUGAGGGCAUGAGAAUCAGGGCAAAGAGAAUUACUGAAAGAGUAAAACUAUCUUAAAGAUGUGAGGUUGGCCACUGAUGGAGAGGACAAGCAGGACAGGGAUCGGGGGACCAAAGUCCAGCUGCACUGACUCCAUUCAGCUCUGCUCUGUUCACCCUCAUCCCAAACCUGUCCCCAUCCCCAGACAAAUAGAAGCUGUGGACAAAGAUUGUUUUUGCCCUCCACAUCUCCAAUACUCUGUUUUCAAAUGACUGCAACCAACCCAACAAAAGAACUCACUUAACAUAUUAGUAGUAUCUUAAAUGAUGCAAUUUUAUCUUGUCCAUGAAAUAGCUUCAAUUAAAACAAAUUAUCUCUUUCCAUUCAUAGCUUAAUUCAUAUAGCACAUCUGAUAGAGCCUUUUUAAAUGCUCACUUUUAUUGGUCUUAUUUCAAAAUUAAUUCAUGUUUAUAGUCUAGCAUUUAGAAAAUUCCAAGGCAAAGCAGGCUACAUUUGUGUGUUUCCUCUUGGUGUCUCCAGUGCCCCAUGCCGCCACUGCACAGAGGACAUUAAGCAUUGAACACAGAGAACUAAACCACUUAAGGAACCACCCAUAAUCUCAAUACCAAUAGAUACUUACCCUCACUUUUUUGAUAUGUUUUUUCCAGUCACUUGUGUAUGUAAGCAUACAUACAAAAACAGGUGUGUGUGUGUGUGUAAAAAUGUGUGUUUACAGAGUUCGUUUUACAGGAAAGCACAAAGUCAGAUAGUUGUUAUCGGGCACCUAUGGGAAAUGUCAUAGGAGACUAAAGAUGAGACGAAAACUUUGGGACCACCACUCUUAAUCAUCCUAAUACUUGAUCUUUCCAUGGCUACCCUGAGAUAGAAUAAAUGGCUUUUGUAAAACAACUUAAACCUCAUCUCCUUAAUUGAGGUAUCCUGCUUUCUUACUCUUAUUUACGUGUCUAAGUCAGGGAGAAACAUCCCAUUAUGUCACAAAUAAGAUUAAAGGUAGUUGUAAUUAAAUUUCACCAUGUGCCCUGAGUUUUCCCACCUGAGAAUUAUAAGAAAAAAAUCAAAAGGUCUUCUCCUCUUACUAGACUACCCACCAAAUGGUCAUUACAUUUUCCUGUAGGCUGCAGAUAAAAUCUCUCUAUCAUAAGUCUCCCAAUCACCAAGUGAGAAAACACCACUCUGGGGUCCAGGGAUGUGUAGGCAAUUGAAGAGUUUCUCUUUUAAGAAUGGCAGCUCAUUAGGGUAAGUGUCCAAGAACAUAAUGAAAAAAUUGUGGUAUAUUUAUACUGGGGGAUAUGCCAGAUUAAAAAACGAACACAUUUGAGUUACAGAUAGCAACAUGGAUAAAUCUCUAAUGCAGAAUUUUAAUAAGAAAAAGGCAUAUUGCAGAAUUAUAGGUGCAGUAUAAUACCAUGUAUAUAAAGUUUAAACACAAAAACAUGCUAUAUAUCUUUUAUGGAUAUAUCCUUGUGCAGUAAAAAAUAUAAAAUAUGCAUAAGAAUGACAAAGACAAAUUUUAGAGGAUUUAUUCCCUUAGGGAGAAAAGGAAACGGCAUCACAAGGAUUACAAGAUUUGAAUUGAAUCUACAAUAUUUUAUUCCUUAAGCUGAGUAGCGGGUACAUGGGUGUUCAUAUACUCAAAACCAUUUUUGGCACAUGAAAUAUUUUAAAAUUUUUUAAAAAGCUAGAUAGUAUGAUUGACAUCUUCAGAUACUUGAAGAUCUGGCAUGUUGAUGAUGGAAAGUAUCCUAUGACUAAGUAGGUAAAGCUAUUAUGAAGGCAAAUUUUAGGUCAUUCUUAGGAAAAACCUAAAAGGGCUGUCUAAAAAUGAACAGUGUCUUCUACAUGAUUAAGGAGUAAAACAGAGUUAAGGUCUUCGGAGGUAGCAAGUCACAGUGCAAGUAGAGUUCACUUGUCUUUGUCUUGAAAGCAAAGAUUUCUUUUCUCUUGCAAAAUUCCCGGGACAUAUCCUGAUAAAGCUUUACAUCUCAGCAGCAUCACUCUGAUUGCUCUUUUUUCAGUUGGUGUCAUUGGAAGCCCCUAAACCCUAUUUAACUUCAGUGCCAUUGACUGGCACUUCCUGCCACUUACAUCUUUGCCAUUUGGCAGUGCCUGGGUUGGACAGAUCUGCCACCUGGUUCUGGUUCUGCAUUAUUGUCAUUCCUUGUGCCAGUCAUAAGGAUUCACUGGCACCCCUCUGAGAUUAGGAGUUCUCCAGGUCUGGAGAUAUUAAAAAAGAGAGAGAUGGUCAGCGAUGCUAUAGAAGGGAUUUUAGUAGUCUCUGGUAUGCUGGAGCACAUAACCUUUGAGUAUGGAUUUCCAUAUUCAUUUAUUCAAGAAAUGUUUAGUGAGUGUUUACUUUGUGCAAAGCACCUUGCUCGUUAAGCUUCUAUGGCUCUAGAAUUUGUCUUUGAAAAUGCGUCUCUAACUUUACAGAAAUGAAAAUUGAGACAUGAUGGGAAAACUUAUUUUAAGCAAACAAUAAGGCAGGCAGGCAGGCUGUGGUUUGCAGACCGACCACUUCUAGCCUUAUUGCCAAGAGCACUACGAGAGUCACAGGAACAUUUUGGAGAUAAUGUUACAUUCACAGACUUGUACAUGUCUUACAGUGAAAGACACCCCAGAGGUUAUCCAAUUCAAAUACUUCAUUUUACAGACGAGGAAACAAAAGCCUGGGGAGGUAUGUGGCUAACUGAUUGCAGAAUCUAUUCUCAGAUAUGGUAUUUCCUUCCCAACCUUGAAAGUUGUGUUCCUGAAAACCUCCAUGGAAGGAGAAAUUACACUUGAGGAACUUACGACCUUAGGAAGAAAAUAGAGUUUGGGGAGUAAGAUAGUGAGUGAAUCUGAGAAAGUUAUCAUCAUUGUUUUAUAUCUACUAAUAAAACAAUGUAGGUACCAUUGAUACCCACUUUAUUUUAUGCCGAACGCAUUUGUAAUGGUGAAUCUUGUACAGGUGAUUUUAUUUACUUCUUAGAAUUCCUUAUUAACACUUCUCUAGGCUCUCUAUACACAAUUUUUGUAAAACUUCUUGUGAGUCAUUGCCUUUUUGUGUAAAUACUGGUUACAAUGGAUUGUUUUCUGUUUCAGGUCCUGUUGUCUCUGCCUUUUUGCAUCUUUGACAUUAUCAUUGUAACUUAUAACUUCUAACCUCUACUCUGACUCAACUUGGUUGUUUCCUGAUUCCUCUCUCUCCUUCUUGCUGUUCCUUCUCUCUGCUGUCCUUUAACUGUAGCUGCUCACCAGGACUAUGCUGUAAACUUUCACCUCCUCUCACUGUUUACUCUACCUAUGUAACUAUCAUGUUUGAUAAUGAGGUCCUGCUGAAUAAGCCUGUUUGCUGUCUUUCCAGGCUGUGCUUUCCCACUCCUGCAGCUACUGCCUUAAUUCAGGUUAUCACUGUCUCUCACUAGGACCCCUGCACUAAUCUCCUUGAUUGGUCAAAGGUUUCAUUAUUUGCAUUGUGCUCUGAGUGAAAUUUUCUUAUGACGGCUUACAGUUCCCAGUGGCUGCAUGUGCCUAUAGAACACUAACUUCCUAAGCAUUUCAUCCAAGGCCCUCCACCUUAGCUCUUGUACCCUUUACUCCAGCCAUAUUUAUUGACCCUACUUGAUGGCCUAAUGUACCAGACUAUUUGGCAUCUUCAUGCCUUUGUGAACUGACUUUUCUUCAUCAGGAAUGCCCUUCACUCUGCCCCUCUCACGCUACCCAUUUCCCCUCCCACGUGCAAUCACCUGCCUGGUGAACAUCUACUCUUCCUCGAAAACUUUGCUCAUACCAUCACCUCUCCCUUGGAGGUACCACUUCCUACUCCUACUUUCUGCUCAUCUCGUACCUCAUUAAAGAGAAUAGGAGGUUCCCACCACAAAAUCUGAAAGCCUCCUGCCACAAAACCUGUCUUCUUCCCUCUGUGCAACUGAAUGUGACUCCUUGUAAUCAAAUGCUCAUCCCUCAAUUCAUGUUGGGAAUCCCAUCUCUCUCACUUUCUCAAGAAGUUCAAUGCUUCUGUCAGACUGUCUCCAGUCAAUUAUUCCCAUCAGCAUAUAAACAUAAUCCAGUAUUACUGUCCUAACCAAUACUCCAUAUUGAUCCACAUCCCUUUCCAGCUACCAUUCUUUUCUGUCUUUCACAAUAAAAUUCCAUAAAAUAGUUGUGUACACACAGCACUUUUAUGUUUUCACUUCACAGUCACUUUGGAAUUCACUUCAAAUUGGCAUUCACCCACAUGACCCAGUUGGUCACUAAUGACCUUUAUAGUGCUAUGUCCACAUUUUCAUCUCACUAGAACUUUCAGCAACAUCCAACAAUUGACCAUUCUCUUCUCAAAAUUGGCCAUUCUCUUCUUGAAAUUGUUCUUGGCUUACAUGAUUCCAUAUUUCCCUGGUCUUUUAUCUGCUUCUCUACCUGCUCCUCCUAAGCCUCUGUUGUGUCUUUUCUUCCACUUUCUAUAAUACCUCUAAGUAUUGAAUUUCCUCAGUAUUCUGCUCUGAACCCCAUGCCUUAUGUUUCCAUAAAUAAUCUCAUUCAUCCUCAUGGCUUAAAAUACCAAUUCCAAGCCAAUGACUCCUAUGUCUGUAUCUCUAGUCCUAACCUCUCCUCUGACCUCCUGACUUAUACUCUUGUCUUUAUAACACCCACUUAUGAAUGCUUCAUGGACAUCUCACAUAAAUAUAUCCAAGACUGCAUUUUUAUUUCCCUCUGAAAACCUAGUCCUCCUUCCAUCCUCCCCACCUCCCUUUUUUGGCAACAUUAUCCACGCUGUUGAUCAGGUCUGGAUCCUGGGAGUCACUAAUUAUUUCUCCCUGUAUUUCUUCCUCUAGUCCAAUUCGUCACUAAGUCUGAUCAUCUGUCUCCUAAAUGCAGCAUAAGGAGAUCCACUUUUCUUUAUCGUUACUGCCACAUUGUAGUUUGAUCUACUAUUAUUUUAAACUUAACAACCACAAUACCUUCAAACUGAUCUCCAUGCACACAGAACACAGUGACUCUCAUCCUUAAUUGAAUCUCUACACAGCCACAGAAACAGUCUUUCUUGAAACAUAAAUCCCAGCAUGACACUGCCUGACAUGCAAUCUCUCUUUGCACUUUGUCUUAGUCCAGGUACAUCAGUGUUGCUAUAAGUCCUGUUGGUCAGCCUCCUGCCCCGUACCCUAAGCUCAUCUUACAUCAGCGAGUCCUCACUCUCCACUCUCUAGACUGACUCCUGAUGUUUUCUCAAGCAAGUUGAUUUCUUUCUCAUCUUAAUCCUUCACAGGUGGUACAUAGUGCUUCCCGAGUUUAGAUCUCCACUCUCCCUUAUGUUCUCAUAAAGGAUUCAUAUGUCCUUUAGGUCUUGGCUUAAAUGCCAUCUAUUCAGAGAAGCCUUCCCUGGCGACCUUAUCUGAGUCAAUCUUCCAUUGUUAUAUUGUUAUAUUGAUUUGCUUUGUUUCUUGCUACUUCUUCUACUUGACUCGGUAGAAGGCUCUGCAUAAUUGACCAAAAUAUAUACAGUGUUUUUCAGAGUGCUAGUCACCUAUUAGUACUGAAGAAUUAUUUGUUGAAUAACUUAAUGAUUUUUUUGCAGUUACACGAGUGUUGUUUUGAUUGACUGAAAAUAGAUUGCCUAAGAUGACAUGAAAGAUCAAAGGUGAAGAGUGGAAGAUAGCACCACUUUGGGUUAAAAGUUUACUUAAGUCAGCAACUCCUCAAGAAACAGCUACCAGCAUUCCUGGGACUAUUAUGCCCUGGUCUACUUGUAGCCUGUUUGUAUUCCAGCCUACUUUGGCACCUUGCCGUCUCUGCUUACCGACUUUCUGCAUAAGAGUGAAAUAGAAAGUGACUUGGAACCAUGUAUACCUAAAGUGUGACAUUUAAAAAAACGUCCUCAGAAAAACUAAUAUCCUGGUUAUUUUUGAAUGUGCUAAGAGACUCUUUUUUUUAAUCUUGUUUUUUUAUUUUGAAUAUAGAGCACAUUGAGGUUUAAAAUGGAAAAUUCUAUUAAAAAUAAAAGGCAUACGUUUACAUAUCUUACAAUUACCUCUGCUUCUGUCCCUCCCAUUCCUUAUGAG